RNA transcript from Prunus persica (peach), 2483 nucleotides. It is a transcript of the gene named synaptotagmin-5, with no coding region annotated. The transcript has 12 exons. Lineage: Eukaryota; Viridiplantae; Streptophyta; Magnoliopsida; Rosales; Rosaceae. The record is from RefSeq and is a predicted model, not a curated record.
AAAUGAGAAGGGGUAAAAAGUGGAAUAUGACCUUUUAUGAAACAGUUGCGUUUGCAGGAAGAUAAUUCGAGCGCUCAGCAACGGCCCCAAACGGCCAAGACGUGUAAUUAAACAAGAAAAAGAAAAGAAAAGUCCAAAUCCCAAAAUAAUAAUAAAAAAACCGAUAACGAUAAAUUGAAAGCAGAGAGAGGGUCGCUGUGCGCUGGCCUACAAAGGCUUUGAAUGCUCGCUGGCUUUCGUUUUCAGUCUGCAAAUCUUGUGGAGGCAAAGCCACAAACCACAACGCUAGCUAGCCAGAGUGAUGAGCCCGAGAGAGCCACAUUUAAAGCCACAAACAAACACACCCACCCACACUACUAUGAGUGAGAGAGAAUAGGAAAAAGGGAAAAAUAUAAUUCGAAUUUAAUCGUUUAAAUAAAGAUCGCACAAGCUUCGGUUUCUUCGUUUCGUCUUUGCAACUCUUCGUCUUUUCUUCGUUUCUUUUUCUCUCCGAUCCCUAAUUCGCCCACCUUCUCCACCUCCAAUUUAUCUGGGAGAUUGUGUUUGGAAUCCAGGAACAUGGGGUUGAUUUCGGGGAUUCUGAUGGGGAUGGUCUUCGGGAUUGCAUUGAUGGCCGGGUGGCGUCACAUGAUGAGGUACCGAAGCACCAAGCGAGUCGCUAAGGCAGUUGACAUAAAACUCCUUGGAUCACUAAACAGAGACGAUUUGAAGAAAAUAUGCGGGGACAAUUUUCCUGAAUGGAUAUCUUUCCCCGUCUUUGAACAGGUGAAAUGGUUGAAUAAGCAACUGACCAAAUUGUGGCCAUAUGUUGCAGAUGCUGCAGAAAUGGUGAUAAAAGAUUCUGUUGAGCCACUAUUGGAAGAAUACCGACCGACCGGAAUUACUUCAUUGAAGUUCAGCAAACUGUCUCUUGGUACUGUGGCACCCAAAAUUGAAGGUAUUCGUGUUCAAAGCCUCAAGAAAGGUCAAAUUACAAUGGACAUUGAUUUUCGUUGGGGUGGUGAUCCAAACAUCGUAUUAGGUGUUGAAGCUGCACUCGUUGCCUCAAUUCCCAUUCAGCUGAAGGAUCUUCAAGUUUUUACUGUUGUUCGUGUAAUUUUCCAACUUGCUGAAGAGAUCCCUUGUGUAUCUGCAGUUGUUGUUGCUCUACUUGCAGAGCCGAAGCCUAGAAUUGAUUAUACUCUGAAGGCUGUUGGCGGAAGCUUGACAGCCCUCCCUGGAAUUUCAGAUAUGAUUGAUGAUACUGUGGAAUCGAUUGUCACAGACAUGCUCCAGUGGCCACAUAGAAUUGUUGUUCCAAUUGGUGGUGUGCCUGUUGACACAAGCGAAUUGGAGCUUAAACCUCAAGGAAAGCUCACCUUGACUGUAGUGAGAGCAAAUGACUUAAAGAACAUGGAAAUGAUUGGAAAAUCCGACCCUUAUGUUGUUGUCUACAUUCGUCCAUUAUUCAAGGUUAAGACUAAGGUCAUUGAUAACAAUCUGAAUCCUGUUUGGGAUCAAACGUUCGAGUUGAUUGCAGAAGACAAGGAGACUCAAUCACUUAUUCUUGAGGUUUUUGAUAAGGACAUCGGGCAAGACAAGCGAUUGGGAGUGACAAAAUUACCUUUGAUUGACCUGGAAGCAGAAACUGUGAAAGAGAUUGAACUGAGAUUGCAGCCAUCACUUAACAUGCUAAAAAUAAAAGAAAAGAAGGAUAGAGGAACUAUUACUAUCAAGGUCUUUUACCAUGAAUUUAACAAGGAAGAGCAGUUGAUUUCUUUAGAGGAAGAGAAGAGGAUCUUAGAAGAAGAAAGCAACUGAAAGAAGCAGAGUUAUAGGCAGCACAUGGAUGCACUUGAUGUGCAGCUUCAGUGGUUGGAUCUGGUGUUGGAUUGGUGGGUACUGGCCUUGGUGCUGGGGCUGGGCUCGUGGGAAGUGGCGUUACCGCUGGAGCUGGGCUUGUGGGAAGUGGCGUUACUGCCGGAGCUGGGCUUGUGGGGACUGGCGUUAAUUCUGGGGUUGGAAUGGUCGGGAGUGGCUUCGGAGCUGUUGGUAGUGGCCUUAGCAAAGCCGGGAAGUUCAUGGGUAGGACCAUCACCGGGCAAUCGAGUCAUUCAAGGAGAAGAAGUGGGUCUACAACUCCAGUGGGUAGUGUCCAAGAAAAUGGUGGUGCAAAGCCACGGUAAUGUGCCUGCAUUUGCUUUGCUGAUGAUAUGCUAAAUCGUGUGAAUUGAGUCAAUUGACCUUGUGAAUUGUAGGCUUUAAUGAAUAGAUAUACUCGCCUUGCUUCUAUUUCAACACUCUUCUUAAAUUCUUUUCUUUGUUCUAAUUUUGAAAAUGAUAAUAGGUAUUGGUUUAUUUCCACCUCUUUCCUCUGUGUAUCAUCCCCAUCCUGUAUUCUUGUUUGUCUUUCUACCUUACUGGAACUUGUAAUAAAAUCUUGAAUAUUUGUACAAAUUUAUCAUUUGGCUUUUUGAGCAAUUUAGGGCCAGCUAGGGUGAGCC